AAAGUCGUAACAAGGUUUCCGUAGGUGAACCUGCGGAAGGAUCAUUACCAGAGGCAAGGACAGGCAGCGCCCAGGUGGCUCGCCACCUGGGGCUACCCGACCACGGUCGGGUUUAGAGUCGUCGGGCCCCUCGGAGAAGCCCGGUCCUGAUCUCCACCCCUGAAUAAACUACCCUGUUGCCUUGGCGGGCCGCCCCGUGCCGGCGGCCACCGGCUGUCGAGCGCCCGCCAGAGGACCCAAACCCGUGUCUUUAGUGGUGUCCGAGUACUAUAUAAUAGUUAAAACUUUCAACAACGGAUCUCUUGGUUCUG
This 311-nucleotide unclassified non-coding RNA is filed under the name Ascomycota sp. Its description in RNAcentral is "partial contains small subunit ribosomal RNA, internal transcribed spacer 1, and 5.8S ribosomal RNA". The stretch from base 1 to 47 matches the Rfam family "Eukaryotic small subunit ribosomal RNA", at positions 1785 to 1831 of the family's 1831-position model. Lineage: Eukaryota; Fungi; Ascomycota. The record is from RNAcentral.